AUUGAACGCUGGCGGCAGGCCUAACACAUGCAAGUCGAACGAGUGGCGGACGGGUGAGUAAUGUCUGGGAAACUGCCUGCUGGAGGGGGAUAAAUACUGGAAACGGUAGCUAAUACCGCAUACCAUCAGAUGUGCCCAGAUGGGAUUAGCUAGUUGGUGGGGUAAAGGCUCACCAAGGCGACGAUCCCUAGCUGGUCUGAGAGGAUGACCAGCCACACUGUAACUGUGACACGUCCCAGACUCCUACGGGAGUCAGCAGUGGGGAAGAUUGCACAAUGGGCGCAAGCCGGAUGCAGCCAUGCCGCGUGUAUGAAGAAGGCCUUCGGGUUGUAAAGUACUUUCAGCGGGGAGGCGUUACCCGCAGAAGAAGCACAGGCUAACUCCGUGCCAGCAGCCGCGGUAAUUC
RNAcentral lists this ribosomal RNA (406 nucleotides) under uncultured bacterium. RNAcentral describes it as "partial 16S ribosomal RNA". It matches the Rfam family "Bacterial small subunit ribosomal RNA", at positions 30 to 526 of the family's 1533-position model. The record is from RNAcentral.